GCCGAGAUAGCUCAGCUGGUAGAGCAUUUGUCUGAAGAACAAAGGGUCCCCAGUCCGAACCUGGGUCUCGGCACCA
This 76-nucleotide transfer RNA is filed under the name Patescibacteria group bacterium. RNAcentral's name for it is "tRNA-Phe". It matches the Rfam family "tRNA". Rfam says of the family: Transfer RNA (tRNA) molecules are approximately 80 nucleotides in length. The record is from RNAcentral.